RNAcentral lists this long non-coding RNA (947 nucleotides) under Musa acuminata (dwarf banana). RNAcentral's name for it is "long non-coding RNA (MACU_LNC001048)". The record is from RNAcentral. Lineage: Eukaryota; Viridiplantae; Streptophyta; Magnoliopsida; Zingiberales; Musaceae.
CUUGUUCAGAUGUGUGGCACACAAUUCAUAGCAGCGAUCUCGGCCUCUCGUGGUUGAUCAUGACAUGGUUCCUGGUGAUGUCCCUGAGAGUGGGGCAGCCUGCAAGGGCCAUGGUAAGCUCCAAUUCAUUCUGAAGCAUCUUGAUCACGCUUCUUACUCCAUGCUCCCCAUUCGCCGCAAGGCCAUAAACCACAGGCCUUCCGAUCUGUUUAUUAUUGAACAGAGAGAAGUAGAAACAAAGGUUCAGCAAAGUUUCAUCUAUAAAUUUUAUGAACAUCAGAAAUAAUGUAUACAUGUAUUUGCUAUGUAUUAGUCACGACAACGUUUGAAUCAUAUCAUGCUGGUCAAUGUCAAGAUCGACAUUGUGCUCAAGAUCUGACACCGAAUGAUAAUUGAUAUUAUUCUCAGGAUCAAAGAAAACGCACCAUUACAGCUUUGGCACCGAGUGCUAAGGCCUUGAACACGUCUGUUCCACGACGAACUCCUCCAUCGAGCAGUACAGGAACUGCUCCUGAAACAGCUUUUACUACCUGCAGGAGGCUUACAAUUUGAUAUCAAAACCAAGCAGUAGCAAAAACUGCCAAAUUCACAAAUUUUAACACUAAAGGAAACAUAAUCAUCAAAUCCUUCGACCAAUCCAUGCUGCUUUUUUGUUCCUCGCUCUGAGAGCUUUGGUCAGUUCGAAGUAACAAUAGGAACAUUCAAAUAAAACAAGAUUUUUCCAGUUUGAAGUAACUUCUCUUCAAGAAGAUGGGAAUGAAAGCACUACCUCCUCGAGGACAGAUAUUGUAGGUGGUGUAUAAUCAAGCUGGCGACCACCAUGGUUUGAGACGACGAUCCCAGAUACUCCAGCAUCUACUGCUUUUCUAGCUGCUCAUUUUCAUAAACGUUUUAGCUCCACAUGGCUCGAUCUAUUUAAGUGAACUAUCAAACACUGUGUUAUUCUU